Molecule: ribosomal RNA, 303 nt
Filed under: uncultured bacterium
Lineage: Bacteria
Description: partial 16S ribosomal RNA
Rfam family: Bacterial small subunit ribosomal RNA
Source: RNAcentral
AGCAGUCGCCGCGGUAAAACGAACCGUGCGAACGUUAUUCGGAAUCACUGGGCUUAAAGCGCGUGUAGGCGGAUGGGAGCGUCGGCCUCUGAAAUCCCCCGGCUCAACCGGGGAAGUGGAGCCGAAACGACCCGUCUGGAGGGACGUAGGGGGACCUGGAACUUCCGGUGGAGCGGUGAAAUGCGUUGAGAUCGGAAGGAACGCCCGUGGCGAAAGCGAGGUCCUGGACGUCUGCUGACGCUGAGACGCGAAAGCCAGGGGAGCGAACGGGAUUAGAUACCCGGGUAGUCCCUGUCUCUUAUA